CCUACGGGAGGCAGCAGUGGGGAAUAUUGGACAAUGGGGGCAACCCUGAUCCAGCCAUGCCGCGUGUGUGAAGAAGGCCCUCGGGUUGUAAAGCACUUUCAGUGAGGAAGAACGCCUGGUGGUUAAUACCCAUCAGGAAAGACAUCACUCACAGAAGAAGCACCGGCUAACUCCGUGCCAGCAGCCGCGGUAAUACGGAGGGUGCGAGCGUUAAUCGGAAUUACUGGGCGUAAAGCGCGCGUAGGUGGCUUGAUAAGCCGGUUGUGAAAGCCCCGGGCUCAACCUGGGAACGGCAUCCGGAACUGUCAAGCUAGAGUGCAGGAGAGGAAGGUAGAAUUCCCGGUGUAGCGGUGAAAUGCGUAGAGAUCGGGAGGAAUACCAGUGGCGAAGGCGGCCUUCUGGACUGACACUGACACUGAGGUGCGAAAGCGUGGGUAGCAAACAGGCUUAGAUACCCGGGUAGUC
This 465-nucleotide ribosomal RNA is filed under the name Vreelandella stevensii. RNAcentral describes it as "partial 16S ribosomal RNA". It matches the Rfam family "Bacterial small subunit ribosomal RNA", at positions 338 to 795 of the family's 1533-position model. Lineage: Bacteria; Pseudomonadati; Pseudomonadota; Gammaproteobacteria; Oceanospirillales; Halomonadaceae. The record is from RNAcentral.